RNAcentral lists this ribosomal RNA (1197 nucleotides) under uncultured organism. RNAcentral's name for it is "bacterial SSU rRNA". It matches the Rfam family "Bacterial small subunit ribosomal RNA", at positions 199 to 1426 of the family's 1533-position model. The record is from RNAcentral.
GAGUAAAGAUUUCGGUCGCUUUGGGAGGAGCUCGCUUACUAUCAGCUUGUUGGUAGGGUAAUGGCCUACCAAGGCUAUGACGGUUAGGGGGUGUGAGAGCAUGACCCCCAGCAUUGGCACUGAAACACUGGCCAAACACCUACGGGUGGCUGCAGUCGAGAAUCUUCCACAAUGGGGGAAACCCUGAUGGAGCGAUGCUGCGUGCGGGAUGAAGGCCUUCGGGUUGUAAACCGCUUUUGUAGGGGACGAAAUUUUUGACGGUACCCUUUCGAAUAAGAGGUUGCUAACUCUGUGCCAGCAGCAGCGGUAAUACAGAGACCUCAAGCGUUAUCCGGAUUUACUGGGCGUAAAGCGUCUGUAGGGGGUUUAUUAAGUUCCAAGUAAAAUUUCAAGGCUCAACUUUGAAUUCGCUUGGAAAACUAAUAAACUGGAGUCUAGCAGAGGUGCAUGGAACUUGUGGUGUAGGAGUGAGAUCCGUUGAUAUCACAAGGAACACCAAAGGCGAAGGCAUUGCACUGGGCUAGCACUGACCCUGAGAGACGAAAGCGUGGGGAGCAAAACGGAUUAGAUACCCGUGUAGUCCACGCCCUAAACGAUGAAUGCUAAAUGUUCGGGGAUUCGACCCCCUGGGUGUUACAGCUAACGCGUUAAGCAUUCCGCCUGGGAAGUACGGCCGCAAGGCUAAAACUCAAAGGAAUAGACGGGGAUCCGCACAAGCGGUGGAGCGUCUGGUUUAAUUCGACAGUAAGCGUGGUACCUCACCAGGGUUUGACAUCCCUUGACAGCCUUGGAAACAAGGUUUCCUUCGGGCAAGGUGACAGGUGCUGCAUGGUCAUCGUCAGUUCGUGCCGUGAGGUGUUCCGUUAAGUCGGGAAACGAACGAAACCCCUAUUGCAUGUUACAAUUUCUCAUGCAAGACUGCCCGGAUAUACUGGGAGGAAGGUGGGGAUGACGUCAGAUCUGCAUGGUCCUUAUACCCUGGGCGACACAGGCGCUACAAUGGCAGAGACAAAGGGUUGCAAAACCGCAAGGUGAAGCUAAUCCCAAAAACUUUGUCUAAGUUCGGAUUGAAGGCUGCAAUUCGCCUUCAUGAAGCUGGAAUCGCUAGUAAUCGUGAAUCAGCCACGUCACGGUGAAUAUGUUCCCGGAUCUUGUACUCACCGCCCGUCACACCAAGAGAGUUGGUAGCUCCCAAAG